This 253-nucleotide ribosomal RNA is filed under the name uncultured bacterium. Its description in RNAcentral is "partial 16S ribosomal RNA". It matches the Rfam family "Bacterial small subunit ribosomal RNA", at positions 524 to 776 of the family's 1533-position model. The record is from RNAcentral.
UACAGAGGGUGCAAGCGUUGUUCGGAUUUACUGGGCGUAAAGCGCGUGUAGGCGGGUUGCCAAGUCCGCUGUGAAAGCCCGAGGCUCAACCUCGGAGGGUCGGUGGAUACUGGCAGUCUUGAAGUGGCUAGGGGGAGAUGGAAUUACCGGUGUAGCGGUGAAAUGCGUAGAGAUCGGUAGGAACACCAGUGGCGAAGGCGGUCUCCUGGAGCUAACUUGACGCUGAGACGCGAAAGCUGGGGGAGCGAACGGG